GGGCCCGCACAAGCGGUGGAGCAUGUGGUUUAAUUCGAUGAUACGCGAGGAACCUUACCAGGGCUUAAAUGCAGAACGACCGGCGUGGAAACAUGCCUUUCUUCGGACGGACUGCAAGGUGCUGCAUGGUCGUCGUCAGCUCGUGCCGUGAGUGUCGGGUUAAGUCCCAUAACGAGCGCAAUCCCUAUCUUUAGUUGCCAGCGGAUAAUGCCGGGGACUCUAGAGAAACUGCCAGCGUAAGCUGUGAGGAAGGUGGGGGAUGACGUCAGAUCAUCACGGCCCCUUACGUCCUGGGCUACACACGUGCUACAAUGGCAAGGACAAUGAGCUGCCAACCCGCGAGGAC
RNAcentral lists this ribosomal RNA (346 nucleotides) under uncultured bacterium. RNAcentral describes it as "bacterial SSU rRNA". It matches the Rfam family "Bacterial small subunit ribosomal RNA", at positions 917 to 1264 of the family's 1533-position model. The record is from RNAcentral.